GAUGAACGCUGGCGGCGUGCCUAAUACAUGCAAGUCGAGCGAACAGAUGAGGAGCUUGCUCCUCUGACGUUAGCGGCGGACGGGUGAGUAACACGUGGAUAACCUACCUAUAAGACUGGGAUAACUUCGGGAAACCGGAGCUAAUACCGGAUAAUAUAUUGAACCGCAUGGUUCAAUAGUGAAAGACGGUUUUGCUGUCACUUAUAGAUGGAUCCGCGCCGCAUUAGCUAGUUGGUAAGGUAACGGCUUACCAAGGCAACGAUGCGUAGCCGACCUGAGAGGGUGAUCGGCCACACUGGAACUGAGACACGGUCCAGACUCCUACGGGAGGCAGCAGUAGGGAAUCUUCCGCAAGGGGCGAAAGCCUGACGGAGCAACGCCGCGUGAGUGAUGAAGGUCUUCGGAUCGUAAAACUCUGUUAUUAGGGAAGAACAAAUGUGUAAGUAACUAUGCACGUCUUGACGGUACCUAAUCAGAAAGCCACAGCUAACUACGUG
RNAcentral lists this ribosomal RNA (497 nucleotides) under uncultured bacterium. RNAcentral's name for it is "partial 16S ribosomal RNA". It matches the Rfam family "Bacterial small subunit ribosomal RNA", at positions 28 to 507 of the family's 1533-position model. The record is from RNAcentral.